This 4783-nucleotide long non-coding RNA is filed under the name Sus scrofa (pig). RNAcentral describes it as "lncRNA (ENSSSCG00035016613.1)". Lineage: Eukaryota; Metazoa; Chordata; Mammalia; Artiodactyla; Suidae. The record is from RNAcentral.
UGUCUGAAGGUGUGAAAGUGUGCAGAUUGCCCAUGAAACUGGGUUGUGGCUCUCUGGGGCUUACAGUAGUGAUCCUGGCUAGGGCUGUGGGAAGCAGCAACAGCAUGGGCCUGGGGAGGACAAGAUGCAGCACCACUUUGCUUCUCAAAUGUUAUUUUGUUUUAUAAAUCCUCUCUUAUUUUGAACCUAGUACUGCAGUAUGAAUCCAAAAUACUUUCUUUCAUUAUGUAGCCACAGUGUCAGUUAUCAUACCUAACCAAAUAAUUAUACUUCUUGUGGGAUCAUGAAUUAAGCAAUCCAUAUUCAAAUCACUUCAUUGCCAUUAAAUCUUAUGAGUUAUUUUUUUGACUCAGGAUAUGAAUAAUUCCUAUGUUGCAUUUUAAGGUCAUAUCUUUUAAAUACAUUUUAAGUUAAAUUUAUUUUUGUGAUAAUUGUGGAUUCACAUGCAGCUAUAAGAAAUAAUACAGAGAGAUUGUGAGCACUCUUUAUUUCCAGCGUGCCUCACCAAUUUUCCUCCACUGAGAAUGUCCUUUAAUUCUUCAGUACAGUACUACAAUCAGAAAACUGAAAUUGAUACAAUCAAGAUACAGACCAUUUCCAUCAUCACAAGGAUCACUCACGUUGCCCUUUUGUGAUCACACCUACUUCCCUUCUACUUCUCUCCCCAAGAUCUAGCAACUAAUAUUCCAUUCUCCAUUUCUCUAAUUUGUUAAUUUAUUGAAAUUUAUAUAAACAGAACCAUAGAAUAUGUAAACUUUUGGGGAAGAACUCAGCACAAUUCUUUGGAAAUUUUCCAGUUUAUUGAGUUUAUUAAUAGUUCUUUUCAUUCUAUUGCCACAUAAUAAUCCAGGAUAGAUGUAUGUAUCACAGGUUGUUUAGCAAUUUACUUGUUGAAGGACAUCUGGAUUGCUUAUAGCUUGUGAUUUUUACAAAUAAAUCUGCUAUAAACAUUCGCAUUCAGGGUUUUGUGUGAAAAAAUGUUUUCAUCUCUGGGAUAAAUGCCUCUGGAAUGCUCAAAAUUUCAACAAUUUAAAAUAAAUGUGCCAAUUCUUUGAAAACCACAAGCUAUUAAAACUCAGUCAAGAUAAAGUAGAAAAGUAAAUUUGUACUUAAAACAAAACUCCUGAAAAAGAAAUUUCUGUACCCAGAGGGCUUCCAUAAAGAAUUUUACCAAACAUUAAAAGAAGAAUUAACCACUUUCACACAACUUCUAGAAAAUAGAAGACAAGGGAAGACUUAUUGUGUAAGGCUACCUUAUUGUAAGGCCAGCAUUACAGAGAUACAAAAACCAGACAGUUUUAAAAAAGUGCAGGAGCAAGAGAGUAAAUAAGCUACUAAAAAAAAAUAAUAAAAUGAUUAAUAAAAAUCAAAUUCAACAAAAUGUGAAAUGAAUUAUAUACUAUGUCUUAGAGGGAUUUAUUCGAGAUUGCAAGACUGGUUGAAUAAUCAAAAAUCAGUUCUUGUAAUCCACCAUAUCGACAAAUGCACAGGAAAAUCAUUUCACAAAAGUCAGCACUAAUUUAUGAUUAAAAAACUUAGCACACUAGGCAAGAAGAUAAUUUCUUCAAUGUAAUAAAGAAACCUACUAUUAAUACAAUAUUUCAUGAUCAAAGGCUGUAUUUUCCACACAAGAUUAGAAAAAGCAAAGGCUUCCAUUUUUAUCAAUCUUAUUUUACAUAUUACUCAAAGUUCCAUCCAGUAAAAUAAGGCAAGCUGGAAUUCUAUACCCAGUGAAAUUACCCUUCAAAACUGAAUGAAAAGUGAAGAGUUUCUCAAACAAAUAAAAUAGAAGGAGUUCAUAGUUACCAUACCUGGCUUGAAAUAUAAAAAAUCUAUUUACUGAAAAGGAGAUUGAUAAAGGUCAGAAACUGUGAUCUACAUACUGGAAAAAAAGAUAUGAGAAUGAAUAAAUGAAAGCAAAAUCUUUUAUUUAUAGGACUUUAAUUGCUCUAAAAGCCAACUGGUUGUUUAUAUUAAUAUAGUAAAAAUGGGUGUAGUAAUUAUAUCAUAUUAAUAAGUGAAAUAAAUGAUAAAUUGCUCCAAAGAACAGGAAGGAGGAACUGGAAAUUUUUUUCUUAUAUAGUAUCUGUACUACAUAUGAAGCAGUAUAGUAUUAUUUGAAGGUCAGCUUGAAUAAGUUGAAAUUAUGUAUUAAAAAAAGAAAGUAUGUAUCAUAAACUAAAAGGCGGCCACUGGAAAAAAAAUUAAAAAAACAAAUGACAUUAAAGAAGAGACAGAGAGAGAAUUAUAUAAAACUCUUACUUAAAACUAGAGAAGACAGAACAUAAAGGAAAGGACACCGAAACAAAAUUAAGGAAGGCAAUUACCAACAUAGUGGAUAUUAAUCUGAUUAUAUCAACAGUGACUUUAAAUGAGAUAGGACUAAUUACAUGAAUUAAAAGAGAUUAUCAUAAUUUUUUAAAAAAAGACCCAACUAUAUAUUACCUAUGAAAAUUCCACUUAAAUAAAAUGAUACACAUAAGUUAAAAAAUAAAGAGAUGGAGAAAGUUACACCAUUCAAACACUAAUGAAAAAAAUAUAGUACAAUAUUAGACAAAAUGGAUUUCAGAACAAGGGAGAUAUUAAGGGGUAUUAAAUAAUCAUAAAUUAUUGCAUUUCCAAGAUGACAUAACAACCCAUAAUAUAUAUUUGUCCAACAACAGAACAUCAAACUAUAUGAGCCAAAGCUUGAUAGAACAGAAAAUAGAAAAAUCUAUUAUCAUAUUUGGAGACUUCAAUACUCAUCUGUCAGUAAUUGACAAUUCAAGCAGACAGAAAAUCAGUGAGAACAUAGAUAAAUUGAAUAGAAUUGUCAAUCAACUUGUUCUCAUAGACAUUUUUAGAAUACUCAAUCCAACAACAGCAGAAUACACUUUUUUCAAAUUCAAUGGGGCAUUCAUUAAAACAGACCACAUUCUGGGAGUUUCCAUUGUGGCUCAGUGGUAAACCUGACUAGGAUCCAUGAGGAUGUGGGUUUGAUCCCUGGUCUCACUCACUGGGUAAGGGAUCCGGUAUUGCAGUGAGCUGUGGUUUAGGUCUCGGCUCAGAUCCUGCAUUGCUGUGGCCAUCAGCUGUAGCUCUGACUGGACCCCUAGCCUGGGAACUUUGAUAUGCCACAGGUGUUGCCCUAAAAAUAAAUAAAUAAAAUAAAACAGACCACAUUCUGGAUUUAAAAACAUAUUAACAGGUUUUUUUGAAUUGAAAUCUUACAAAUAAUAUUCUCAGACCACAAUGAAAAUACGCUAGAAGUUAUAACAGAAAGUUUGCUGGAAAAUUCCAAAAUAUUUGACUUAUACAUGAGCCAAUGAAGAAGUUUCAAGAGAAAUGAAAAGUAUUUCAAACUAGAUGAAAAUGAAAAUACAAGUUCUGAAAACCUAAAGUGUGCAACAAAGGCAGUGCCUGGGGGUAGUAGCAUUGGAAUCUCAUAUUAGAAGAGAAGUAUGUAAAAUAAGUAAUCUAAAUUCCCACUUUAGGAAGAUAGAAGGAAAGAAAUGUAAGCCCAAAUCAAACAGAAAAAAAAUAAAUAAAUGUGCCCAGCUAUACAAGAAAAACUUCCUACACUAUUCUAGUCUAGAUACAUUACUCUGGUUUCCUUAUUAUUAAAACAUAUAAUUUAUACUCUAAUUAGUAUAAAUCAAUGAAAUUGAAAACAGGAAAGCAAUAAAGAAAAUCAAUGAAACAAAACUUGAUUCUUACAUAAGAUUGAUGAAAUUUAUAAACAUCUAGCCAGGCUAACCAAGGAAAAAAAAAGAGGAAGACACAACAUCACUAAUAUUAAACGUGUAGAAGUGAUUGUCACUAUUGAUACUUUGUCGCUACUGAUAUUCAGAAAAAGUCAACAAACUGCUGCAAUUCACACAAGGAGAAAUAUAUAACCUGAUAAAUCCCAACUGUAUUAAAGAACUUGAAUCAAUAAUUAAUACCCUUCUGAAAUGAAAGCAACAGGCCCAAAUUUUUUCACAGGUGAAUUCUAGCAAACAUUUAAAGAAGACGUAGUACUAAUUCUCCACAAUUUCUUCCAGAAAAUAGAAGCAGAGGCAGUUUUUCUAACUUGUUAACUUCCAAGGUAACUAAAAAAUCUAACUUCUUUAAUUUAUUUAAGGAUGUCUAUUUUAAAAGUGCAGUUGAUGUCAUAUUUAAUUACAAGUCUGGAUUUCUUUUACUAAGGAGAACCAUGUAAGAAUGUCCUUUCUUACCAAUCCUAUCCAUAUCAUAAAAGAGCUUCUGGGAGUUCCCUUCAUGGUUCGGCAGUUAAUGAACCAUGGCCUAGAAUCCACGAGGAUGCAGGUUCGAUCCCUGGCCUCGUUCAGUGGGUUAAGGAUCUGGCGUUGUUGUGAGCUGUGAUGUAGGUGGCAGACAUGGCUCAGAUCGCGUGUUGCUGUGGCUGUGGAUUAGGUUGGCAGCUACAGCUCCAAUUAGGCCCCUAACCUGGGAAUCUCCAUUUGCUGUGGGUGUGGCCCUAAAAUAGCAAAAAUAAAUAAAUAAAUAAUAAAAAUACAAUAGCUUCUGGAUAGAACAAUAAAACAAAUUUUAAAAAGUUAUGCAAGUUGGAAAGAAAUAAUAAUGUUUUCAUUGGAAGGUAACUGUAUUGUCUAUGUGGAAAAUUUCAAACCACCCCUCUUGAUGCCAAAAAAUAUAUAUAUAAACUCCCAGAAAUAAUACACAAGAAUAGAAAAAUCUUAGGAUAAAAGAUCAAUACAUACACGAAUUAUGCAGAAGUAUCAAGAUGGCCGAGGAGUAAGGCAUCGUGCUUGCCUUCUCCCACAAACACAUAAAAAAAAAA